GAGGAUAGUUCUGUUCAUCUUCAAAAGGUAGCUUCCAAAGAGGAGCAACAGUCACCUUUAAGAUCUGAUGGUUUACUGAGAGAUGGAUUGAAUCACAAGGAAUCAGCGAACCACUUGCUACCUUUCGGCCAAACUGUUUCUCAGAGUUUCUCCAAUAAGAAUCAUUCAGCCGCGGCUGGAACAGAUCAUCAACAACAAAUCAGUCCUCAGAUGGCUCCAUCCUGGUAUAAUCAAUAUGGAACUUUCAAGAACGGACUGGUGCAACCCGUGAAUAAUACAGGGAGACUCACCUCCUUGAACAUAGAAGAAAAAUCUUCUAAUGUUGGGAGUUCAGCUGAUGGCUCACAUAAUGUUCAAUCUCCAAAGCAGUUUAAUACGCAGCAAAUGUCAGGCUCCGCACCAGGAGCGGAGAUUCCCUCAUCUGAGUCAUUGCCUCAUGGUGCAACUCAUACACUUCUGAAGGUUGAUAAACCAAAGAAGCGCAAAACCGCCACAUCAGAGCUUCUAUCUUGGAAUAAAGAAGUCAUGCAUGGUUCCCAGAGGCUUAAGACUCUCAGGUGUGUGGCUUAUGAGCACUAAUAUUGAUUUUUAAUCUUUCAUAUAGAUUACCGUAUUAAUCUACUAUACUCUUUACAGUGAGGCGGAGGUUGAUUGGGCCAGAGCAACUAAUCAAUUUGCUGAAAAGGUGAGUUUCCUCAUUACAUACUUUCUCGCCUGUCUCGUUGUCCAAUGCUGUUGAAUAAGUUGAUGGCUUAUGUUCGCACAGGUGGAAUAUGGGAAUUUACUUGAGGAUGGCCCACGACUCAGAUCAAAGAGAAGGCUUAUAUAUACAACACAACUCAUGCAACAACUAUUUCGCCCGCCUCCUGCUAGGGUAAUAUCUUUGAUUGCUAGCUCAAACUAUGAGUUUGUUGCAUAUACUGCUGCAAGAGGUGCACUAGGAGAUACAUGUAGCUCCACUUUUACUGAUAGGAACGAAUGCCUUUUGCCCCAGAACAAAUCAAACCCGUAAGGAUAUGUACUGUUAUCCUUGAAAUGCUGGAGAGUUUGAGGUUAUGUAUUGACACAAACUUAUCCACUCUUGUGUAGGGUGUCUGAGAGAAGGAAAACUGAAACAAUCAGUGACCAGUACAUCUCCAAAGCUGCUGAAGAUUUCAUUAGCAGGUCACAGAAACUAGAAAAUAACUUUGCAGGGUAAAAGACCAUGCCUAUCUCUCUCUAGUAAUUGAUUUUAGUUCUUAAUGGGUACUCGUUAUGGCGGCUUGAUCUCGUGAACAUCUGUUUUUUCUUUUUCUUUUGCAGACUACAGAACGGAUCAACAAUUGCUGACUUGAUCGUGGAAGUCCAGGAUCUAGAGAAGUUUGCAGUGAUCAAUCGUUUUGCGAAGUUCCACCCAACAUCCUCAUCUACAGACCGGAACGUGAGUUCACUUAGGUUAAACCCACAAAGAUAUGUUACUAUAGCUCCAAUGCCUCAGAAUGUUCCAGACAGGGUACACUGUCUCUCUCUCUAACCAUUGAUGAAUCCAUCAUAUUAUUCUGUUUUUGGCCAGUAGUUCCCAUUCAUAUGUAUCUCGUGCACCAGAUGUUUGUAUUUCUUGGGUGGGUAUGAGUUAGUAGUUGGUCAGGAUUCUGAGAACUGUGAAGGUCUCUAUUGUUAAGAAGCCGGAGAUUUCCUACUAGACAUGAAGAAUUAAUGUAUUCAUGAUCAUAUAUGAUUAUUGCAAGUCAGAAUAUUUUGUAUACUUAGUAAAGAAAAAUUGCUCAUAACAGAAAAUCUAAUAAGGUUACAACCUAUGGUUUCCAGUAAACAAAACAUAGCAAUAUAAUUUCAACAAAGCUAAGAUUCUAAAAAUCUCUUCCUCUGUCUCUUAAGUCACUUAGAGCUUUGUAGAAGCAGUCAAGCUUUAAAGUCACAGAAACUUAACCAGACGGCACACUAAGGAAUAGCUUUCAAACUUUAGAAGGUGGGUCAAAUUUCUUCCCCGACCAUUGCUAAUAUCUCAUCCAUCCUGCAACAAAUAUUCAACACAGGCACAUCAGAAGAGUGGAAUUCGAGCUAGUACCGAUGAACCAACCUAGUCGAAGAAUAUGCAUAAGACUAAAGAAUGGAUUUGACGAACUAAACCGUCCAUAUGAAAACAUGCAUUGAUGUACAUACUCAAAAGGCUGCAUAUGGGCCAUUGGUGGAUUUAGACCUUGUUACUAUCCAGGGCAGAAAUGAAACUACUAACAUAAGUAUAAACAAAAAGAUCCAGUGCAGAAAUGAAAACUACUAACAUCACAAUACUAAAAGCCCGAUAUACAGAGCAGAGAGCACGCCACGUAAGAUAGUUAAUUCAGGCCAAUCAGAAACAUGUAUUUUGACACGUCAUAAUCGCUGGACAUUUUGUGUGGGCUAUGUAAAUUUUUUUAUUCGGCCCAUCUCCACCCGCCCAAAACCUUUUUCGUGCCAAGUUUUGCAAUUCUCAUCUCUGGGACUCUUCCAGCUCGUCUUCUCCAAAUCUCUGAGCUUAUGCCCUAACGUCCUUAGAUCUCAUGUUCUUGAAGUCUCAUCUGGAGCCGACAUAGUUGAGAGCGUCAACACUUACGCUCGCCAGAGAGGGAGAGGUGUCUCCGUGCUCAGUGGUAACGGCACGGUGGCUAACGUCGUUCUCCGUCAGCCGGUGAUGAUUCAUGGGAAUAAUUGCGGAACUGGAGCCGGAGUUGGAGGGGUAAACAUGGAAAGUUUGACAUAAUUCCAUCACUGGUACGGUGCUUCUGCCGCCCACGCCGCCGGGAUCAGGUAGGUUGUCAAUCCAAGAAUUACUAUGACUUUAAAUAAUAAAGAGAGAACGUGUAUUUAUUUAUUUAUCAAUGACCCCACCUUUAUAAAUUAGUAAAUUUUAACGUCAACAAUGCAUAAACGUAGGUUCGGUCAUGUAAAUAUAAUUUUUUAUACUAUCUAACUUAAAAGUGAAGAUUACAGGCUAAAAAUAAAAGAUGCAAUUUUAGUUACUAACUCUGCCAAUUUAAAAUAAUCUUUUUUGCACCAAAUAAAAAAACUCAGAACAAUAAACUUAUUGUAACACAUAUAAAACUACUAAAAAAACUUUUUAACAAAUUCAGAGAAACAUCAAACAUAUAAACAUACCUUCAGCCAUUUGAACACUAAAAAUAACGCUCAUAAACUCACCACAAUUUAACCAGUUUUAGUCACCAAAGCGACUUCCAGUUUACUAAAAAAACCCACGAAACAAUACACAAUUUAACACAAAGUCUCACACCUACUGCACAGUUUCAAUAACAACUUUACAAACUAUUGCAAAUCCUUGGCAACUUAAAGGGUAAUAACAAAAAAAAUCAAUAUCCCCGCGCUUGCGCGGGGGUUGGCCUCUAGUUUGAGUAAUAUUGUAAUAAAAUGGUUUGUAAUGUUCAAAGUUAAAUAAGCCUUGUAGUUAAUUUUUAUUAUAUAUGUAUUUUGUAAACAUGUUUAUUUGAAAUAGUACUGAUGUACAAAUGAGAAGGAAAAAAAUAAAGAGACUUUUAUUUAGAGAACAUUUGGUCUAAUAACAAAACCAAAGCCAUCGCUAAACCGGUGUCAAAAUCUGGACUAACAACCAGAUCAAAAACAUCUGAACCAAACCGGACUCCUUUAGUUCUGGCCUCUUUUCUUUUGAUCUCCACCACUGUCCGGUUUGAUGGGACGUGCAUUAUCUUACACGAUUUACAUCUGUACGAUCCUUUGAUGACGUAAGAGUUCUUCUUAUCGAACGGCGCUGAAUAUACGUACGCCAAAAUGUUGGAAUUGGUGCUCAAAAUAUUCAUCUUCAAGUUCUUCCUCAUGUACCAGAUUGGGCUCUUUGGUACUUUUGCUUCGCCAUUAGUAUAUCCAUUGGUUUUUGGCGUUGUUCUAGUAAAUCUGAAUCCCUCUGAACAUUCUUUUUGGCUUCAUUAUGGCAGGGACAUGUUUUACAAGGCAUAGGAUCAGAAAAUUCACCUACUACAUCUGCUUCAGCCGACAGAAGCGUUGAUAUGUGUAAUCAAGUGAAGAAUUCGUCAAGGUACUUUUCCUUUGGGUUGAAAAGGUUUAGUUUGUCAACUAACUAGCAGAGUACUGUUUUCACAAAUAUUCAUUGGGGAUGUAUUUUCUUACUGUGGUCAUUGAGUAAUUCUUAUUCACUAUUUGCUUGCAAUUGCCUUUCUGAAUUUUUUUUUUCCUGUGCAGGCAGACUAUGCUUGAGCUUCUUCACAAGGUGGACCAGCCGGAUGAGCAUUCUGUGGAAAAUGGUGGUCAAUUUCGUCAUAGUCAGUCAUCUGCUUCUCAGGGGUUUAGUUUACAGCUGGCUCCGCCAUCUCAACCAGCUCCCUCACCUGAUAAUGUGCAGUUUUCUAUGAAUUCUUUGCAGCCAUUGAAUUCACUUCAUAUUGCCCCUGAAAAAGGACCAACAAGUCAAUCAAGGUUUGCUCCAUGGGCAUCUAAUCAAUCUUUUCCACAGCAUUCCACUUAUCAAGGAGAAAGCAACAACGCCUCUGGUUUCCCAUAUUCCAAAGGGUAUCGCCAAAAUCAACUGAUGCCUGUUGAUACUCGACAAUUAACUUCUAACCAUUUAGUCAGUUCAUCCUCUGAGUUGUCAACCCUUCAAGUGAAAGAAAGAGAUCAAAGCAGUGACUAUUCAGCACAAACACCUUCCCUGCUAAAUCCUACGACCCACAACAACAAAGGAGAUUCAGCUGAAGGGUUUCGUAUGCUGUCUGCUCCUCAGCCUCAGGUUGUAUUCAGUUCGCCUCAGCAGAGUUCCUCUUCUGGUAUGAGAUCUGACUCAGGAGCCGGUAUUUCAGCUUAUGCUACCUAGAUCCACAUACCAGGCGAGAGCGAUGUUCUCAAAUACUUCAGCUCCAGGUUCAAAUGAUAGCCCAAAUUUUGAAUGUUUCCAGCAAGAUGAUCCACGCGAGAGAAACGUUUCAGCGCAGGAGAAACUCGAUCAGAUGAAGGGUUCUGGUCCACCAGAAAAAUCAUAUAUAAAAGCGCCUGGAAAUGUUUCUGGGUCACAGAAGUCGACAGCCUUAGAUCCAACAGAAGAAAAGAUUUUGUUUGGUUCGGAUGACAAUUUGUGGGAAGCAUUUGGAAACGACACUGAUAUGAGCUUGACAGGAAACCUGAUGUCCAGUAGUUCUGACCUUAAUGAUGCAUGCCCCUCUUUGAAAGGUGGGGGUUGGAGUGCUCUUAUGCUAUCUGCUGUAGCAGAAACAUCCAGUAAUGACGCAGGCUUUGGUAACAGGGUCCAGAAUCUUGGCGUCAAGGCUUCAAAUGCACCAAGUGAGAGACUCCAGAGUGAUUCGGGCUCUAUUCAAACGAAUGAGGGUAUUGAAGAUAGAUUUGGUAUUUGGAAGGCUGCUUCUAAUCCAAACUUAGUUGCUCCUGUUGAACAGAAGAAUCACUUCACCCAAAAUCUACAAAUGAAGGCAAACUAUGGAUUUGGCAUUGCCACUGCGGAAAACAAGUCUACUGCUUCUAGGGAUGUCCAGGAAAACCAACAGCAUUUGGGUAAUAACUCUGUGGAGAAAGCUACCCCUCAAGUGAAUUAUAGAGAUGGCAGUCAGAUUAGUCGCAAAUUUCACUAUCAUCCCAUGGGUAAUACUGGUGUCACUGAUGAGCCUUAUCGAGAAAAAGUUGCCCAUUUGCCACCCACACUGGAGCAGGUUUCUGCAGGAAAUCAAGGCUAUUUUGGGCAGCCAAAGUCUCUUAGUCAGCCACCUAUGAACAUGCAAAUUGACAGGGUAAAUUUUUAUCCAUUGGUUUUUGGCGUUGUUCUAGUAAAUCUGAAUCCCUCUGAACAUUCUUUUUGGCUUCAUUAUGGCAGGGACAUGUUUUACAAGGCAUAGGAUCAGAAAAUUCACCUACUACAUCUGCUUCAGCCGACAGAAGCGUUGAUAUGUGUAAUCAAGUGAAGAAUGCGUCAAGGUACUUUUCCUUUGGGUUGAAAAGGUUUAGUUUGUCAACUAACUAGCAGAGUACUGUUUUCACAAAUUUUCAUUGGGGAUGUAUUUUCUUACUGUGGUCAUUGAGUAAUUCUUAUUCACUAUUUGCUUGCAAUUGCCUUUCUGAAUUUUUUUUCCUGUGCAGGCAGACUAUGCUUGAGCUUCUUCACAAGGUGGACCAGCCGGAGGAGCAUUCUGUGGAAACAAAUGUUUCCAAUAUUCCUGAAUCAACACCCUCUGCAGAAAAUGGUGGUCAAUCUCGUCAGAGACAGUCAUCUGCUUCUCAGGGGUUUAGUUUACAGCUGGCUCCGCCAUCUCAACCAGCUCCCUCACCUGAUAAUGUGCAGUUUUCUAUGAAUUCUUUGCAGCCAUUGAAUUCACUUCAUAUUGCCCCUGAAAAAGGACCAACAAGUCAAUCAAGGUUUGCUCCAUGGGCAUCUAAUCAAUCUUUUCCACAGCAAUCCACUUAUCAAGGAGAAAGCAACAAUGCCUCUGGUUUCCCAUAUUCCAAAGGGUAUCGCCAAAAUCAACUGAUGCCUGUUGAUACUCGACAAUUAACUUCUAACCAUUUAGUCAGUUCAUCCUCUGAGUUGUCAACCCUUCAAGUGAAAGAAAGAGAUCAAAGCAGUGACUAUUCAGCACAAACACCUUCCCUGCUAAAUCCUACAACCCACAACAAUAAAGGAGAUUCAGCUGAAGGGUUUCCUAUGCUGUCUUCUCCUCAGCCUCAGGUUGGAUUCAGUUCGCCUCAGCAGAGUUCCUCUUCUGGUGUGAGGUCCGACUCACGAGCCGGUAUUUCAGCACUGCAACAUCGGUUUUGGAACCAGCUAUCUAAGCCUCAGCCAGAUAUAUUACGGCCGCAUCCAGUUACCAAUAGCCACGUAGAAGACAGCUUCUCAAGGCAGGAGAAGAGAAAUCAAUUAUCCUCUCAAAAUGGAGGAGACACGUCAUUAAGUGGAAGGGGCACGAUGAAUAUGCAUGAGUUGCAAGGUAAAGAUAUGGGUGCGAAACAAACAUCUGAUGUUGCUUCGAUGUUCUCCAGAAUGGUGCAGAGCAAUCAUCAAACCUUUGAUCGCUCUUUUCCUUCAAACAACCUUCCGAAAGAUAAUAUGCGUCACGAUGAGCUUAUGGCUGAAAAUGGGGAGGCUGACGCACCCAAGAUGACUGUGAAGAGAGUCGAGGAUAGUUCUGUUCAUCUUCAAAAGGUAGCUUCCAAAGAGGAGCAACAGUCACCUUUAAGGUCUGAUGGUUUACUGAGAGAUGGAUUGAAUCACAAGGAAUCAGCGAACCACUUGCUACCUUUCGGCCAAACUGUUUCUCAGAGUUUCUCCAAUAAGAAUCAUUCAGCCGCGGCUGGAACAGAUCAUCAACAACAAAUCAG
RNAcentral lists this long non-coding RNA (7341 nucleotides) under Brassica napus (rape). RNAcentral describes it as "long non-coding RNA (BNAP_LNC003705)". The record is from RNAcentral. Lineage: Eukaryota; Viridiplantae; Streptophyta; Magnoliopsida; Brassicales; Brassicaceae.